Molecule: unclassified non-coding RNA, 19 nt
Filed under: Mus musculus (house mouse)
Lineage: Eukaryota; Metazoa; Chordata; Mammalia; Rodentia; Muridae
Description: oocyte_clustered_small_RNA9743
Source: RNAcentral
AAGGGCACUGUUGCCUUCG